GACGAACGCUGGCGGCGUGCCUAAUACAUGCAAGUUGAGCGCUGAAGGUUGGUACUUGUACCAACUGGAUGAGCAGCGAACGGGUGAGUAACGCGUGGGGAAUCUGCCUUUGAGCGGGGGACAACAUUUGGAAACGAAUGCUAAUACCGCAUAAAAACUUUAAACACAAGCUUUAAGUUUGAAAGAUGCAAUUGCAUCACCCAAAGAUGAUCCCGCGUUGUAUUAGCUAGUUGGUGAGGGAAAGGCCCACCAAGGCGAUGAUACCUAGCCGACCUGGGAGGGGGAUCGGCCACAUUGGGACUGGGAAACGGCCCAAACUCCUACGGGAGGCAGCAGGAGGGAAUCUUCGGCAAUGGACGAAAGUCUGACCGAGCAACGCCGCGGGAGUGGAGAAGGUUUUCGGAUCGGAAAACUCUGUUGGUAGAGAAGAACGUUGGUGGGAGUGGAAAGCGCAUCAAGUGACGGUAACUACCCAGAAAGGGACGGCUAACUACGUG
RNAcentral lists this ribosomal RNA (497 nucleotides) under uncultured bacterium. RNAcentral's name for it is "partial 16S ribosomal RNA". It matches the Rfam family "Bacterial small subunit ribosomal RNA", at positions 28 to 507 of the family's 1533-position model. The record is from RNAcentral.